GGGGAGGUAAGGGGUGAGUGGAUGGAGGACGGAGGACACUGGGGAGCAGUGAAGCUCUUCUGCAUGAUACUGUAAUGGCAGAUACACGUCACUCUCCAUUUAUCCAAAGCCACAGAAUCACCACACCAACAGUGAAUGUUUAUGUCAACUACUGACUUUAUAAUAAUGGGUCAAUAUUGGUUCCCCAAUUGCAACAAAUGUGCCACAGAUGCAAGAUGUUAGUCACAGAGAAAACUGUGUGUGUGUUUGGGAAGGUGAGAUAUGGUCACUCCGCACUUUCUGUUCCGUUUUGCAGUGAACCUAAAACCGCUCCAAGGAAUCGUCUAAUCAUUGAUUUAAAAAAAAAAAAAAAAGGAAAUUUGCGUGCACCACACGCCGGCUUCGAAUCCUCAACCGAUUUCAUUGCUGACAACAGUGUUCCUUUGGUUGCGCUGAUACAGAGCCUUUGAAAAUAUUCCCAUGGGUUCCUGGUGUUGGUUAAAACGCCUUUUAUUCCAACGCUGUGGAAAUAGUACAGACACAAAACCAGGGUGGGUUCCUAGGCUGACAGCUCUGAUACAACCCCAGAGCCAAACCAAGCUGACAAAUCUCACAGAGUCGCAAAAGCAAGGCGAUGCCUGUGGACAGCAUCAGUGUGGUGAGUGACAUCGUGCUGGGUCCAAGGUGCUGUCUGUGUGGCAGGUGAGGGACUGACGGAUGGCUUGGGUGCCAUUUCUUUGACAUGGGGCAUUCUGUGCCACACUGGCCGCUUUCUCUUUUUUCAGCCUGGGAAUCUUCCCUGAAAUUGCGAUGCCAGUGGGCCUUCCCCAGUGGAUGCGACUUUCAUCUCCAUGCUGCGUUCUCAUCCCUGCUCACAACCCACAGUGUUCCAGGAGGCUUCAGCGUGAGCUCGGAGAUGAGUUUGUAUCUGGAAGGAAACAAGGAUUCAUCAGCGAAUUGGAUUUCUAGCUGCUGCAGGUACUGGGGAGCCAUGGGAGGUUUCAGAGUCAAGAAGUACUGGAUGAAAGGCUGUCUCUGUCACUCUUGGAAGCCCUUGACUUUUCAGGUUCUUUGUCUUCACAGCACUGACUGUUGGCUGUGUAUGCCUCCGGUCCCAAGC
Molecule: long non-coding RNA, 1099 nt
Filed under: Macaca mulatta (Rhesus monkey)
Lineage: Eukaryota; Metazoa; Chordata; Mammalia; Primates; Cercopithecidae
Description: lncRNA (ENSMMUG00000051372.1)
Source: RNAcentral